GAACACUUGUCACACUCUAGAAGUUCAAAAAAAAAAAAAAACAUUUCUCAAAGACACUUUUCGGAAACACAUUAACAAACGGACAAUUCUUCGUCUCCGGCCCUUCAAUCAAUCAUGGACACUAAAAUUGGAUCACUCGACACCUGCAAGCCCCCAUGCAGCGACUUAGCCAGCCCGCCAAACGGUGCCGUUUCAACAAUCCAAUCCUCCGUUCCCGCUACUCCACUCGUCAACCCGUCCGAGUCGACCCUCGGCCGCCACCUCGCUCGCCGGCUCGUCCAAAUCGGCGCCACCGACGUCUUCUCGGUCCCCGGCGACUUCAACUUGACGCUUCUCGACCACCUGAUAGCCGAGCCCGGGCUCAACUUGAUCGGUUGCUGUAACGAGCUGAAUGCCGGAUACGCUGCCGAUGGGUACGCUCGCUCGCGUGGGGUCGGCGCCUGUGUCGUGACCUUCACCGUUGGUGGGCUUAGCGUGCUUAACGCUAUCGCCGGUGCUUACAGUGAAAAUCUGCCGUUGAUUUGCAUCGUUGGUGGCCCAAACUCCAAUGAUUACGGAACCAACAGGAUCCUUCAUCAUACCAUUGGCUUGCCUGAUUUUAGCCAAGAACUCAGAUGCUUUCAGACUGUCACCUGUUAUCAGGUAACGAUAGUAAUAAUUUAUUUAAAAAAAAAGCUUUCUUUCUUUAUUUUUAUAACUUAAUAACUGAAAAGUUUCCUUUUUUUUUGUUUUUAAAAAAAAGAUCAAGCAUUGAUAUUAUUAAUAUAUAAGCUUGACUGGUUUUUGAUGAUGGGUAUGAUAUUUUUGAUAGGCUGUGGUGAAUAACUUGGAGGAUGCACAUGAGUUGAUUGAUACGGCAGUAUCAACUGCUUUGAAAGAAAGCAAGCCUGUUUAUAUCAGCGUUGCUUGUAACUUGCCUGCGAUUCCUCAUCCUACUUUU
This 940-nucleotide long non-coding RNA is filed under the name Citrus sinensis (sweet orange). Its description in RNAcentral is "long non-coding RNA (CSIN_LNC002596)". The record is from RNAcentral. Lineage: Eukaryota; Viridiplantae; Streptophyta; Magnoliopsida; Sapindales; Rutaceae.